GCUACCUCAAAGUGGGCUUAAUAUGUGGUGCAACUUGCGCUUCCCUGUAGAAUCAAACCAAAACUAGUCUUCAGCCGUGACCACACUCUUGUUUAAGUUUCCUAUUCCUGUCCUGUCCUGCUGCCUUCACUCCUCUUAUCCUGGGAGCACUUUCCCAAUCAAGCAUAAGAAUCUUCAUCUCAGUCCUCACUGCUUAGGAAACCAAUUUAAGACAACUGGCAUUGGAGAUGGAUUCUAGGGUUAAUUCACUUGCUGGCUGGAUGGCAAUGAGGACCCCACUGGUGGAGGCACUCAAUCUCUCACCUGCCACCCUGUGAAGAGGUGCCUUCUGCCAUGAUUGUAAGUUUCCUGAGGCCUCUCCAGACAUAUGGAACUGUGAGUCAAUUUAAUCUCUUUCCCUUAUAAAUUACCAAGUCUUGGUUAUGUCUUUAUUAGCAGCUUGAGAACAGACUAAUAUAGUAAAUUGGUACUGGGUAGUGGGGUGCUGCUGUAAAGAUACUAAAAAAUGUGAAAGUGACUUGGAACUGGGUGAAAGGUAGAGGUUGGAAUAAUUUGGAUAGUUCAGAAGAAGUCAGGAAAAUAUGGGACAGUUUGAAACUUCCUAGAGACUUGGAGGGCUCAGAAGACAGGAAGAUGUAGGGAAGUUUGAAACUUCCUAGAGACUUGUUGAAUGGCUUUGACCAAAAUGCUGAUAGUGAUAUGGACAAUGAAGUCCAGGCUGAGAUGGUUUCAGAUGGAGGUGAGGAACUUGUUGGGAAGUGGAGCAAAGGUGACUCUUGUUAUGCUUUAGCCAAGAGAUGUGGUGGCAUUUUGUCUCUGUCCUAGAGAUCUGUGGAACUUUGAAGUUCAGAGAGAUGAUUUAGGGUAUCUGGUGAAAGAAAUUUAUAAGUAGCAAAGCAUUCGAAAGGAAGCAGAGCAUAAAAGUUUGGAAACUUUGCAGCCUGAUGAUGCAGUAAAAAAGAAAAACCCAUUUUCUGGGGAGGAAUUCAAGCCUGCUGCAGAAAUUUGCAUAAGUAACAAGGAGCUGAAUGUUAAUCACCAAGAUGGUGGUGAAAAUGUCUCCAGGGCACAUCAGAGACCUUCAUGGCAGCCACUCCCAUCAUAGAUCCAGAGGCCUAGGAGGGAAAAAAAUGAUUCCUGGGCUGGGCCAAAUGGUUUCCUUCCUGCUCUAUGCAGUUGAGGGACAUGUUGCCCUGCAUCCCAGCUGUUUCAGCUCCAGCUGUGGCUAAAAAGGAGCCAAGGUUCAGCUUGAGUCGUUGCUUCAGGGGAUGCAAGCCCCAAGCCUUGGCAGCAUCCACGUGGUGUUGGUCCCGCAGGUGCACAGAAGAUGAGAAAUGAGGUUUGGGACCCUCCACCUAAAUUUCAGAGGAUGUAUGGAAAUGCCUGGAUGUCCAGGCAGAGGUGUGCUGCAGGGAUGGAACCCUCAUGGAGAACCUCUGUUAGGGCAGUGCAGAAGGGAAUGUGGAGUUGGAGCUCCCACACAGAGUCCUCACUGGAGCACUGCCUAGUAGAGCUGUGAGAAGAGGGCUUUGUCCUCUAGAUCCCAAAAUGGUAGAUCCACCAACAGCUUGCAUUGUGUGCCUAGAAAAGCUUCAGACACUCAACACCAGCCCAAGAAAGCAGCCAGGAGGGGAACUAGACCCUGCAAAAGCCAGAGAAGCAGAGCUGCCAAAGGCUAUGGGAGCCCAACUGUUGUAUCAGUGUGACCUGGAUGUGAGUCAUGAAGUCAGAGGAGAUCAUUUUGGAACUAAAGUUCCAAAGGUUUAAUAACUGACCUAUUGGAUUUCAGACUUGCUUGGAGCCUGUAGCCCCUUUGUUUUGGCCAAUUUCUCCCAUUUGAAAUGGGUGUAUUUACCCAGUGCCUGUACCCCAUUGUAUCUAGGAAAUAACUAAUUUGCUUUUGACUUUACAGGCUCAUAGGCAGAAGGGACUUGCCUUGUCUCAGAUUAGACUUUGGACUUGGACUUUUGAGUUAAUGCUGGAAUGAGUUAAGACUUUGGAGGACUGUUGGAAGAGUGUGAUUGUGUUUUGAAUUGGGAGGACAUGAGAUUUUGGAAGGGCCAAAGGUAGAAUGAUGUGGUUUGGCUGUGUUCCCACUCAAAUCUCAUCUUGAAUUAUAGUUCCCAUAAUCCCCAUGUGUCAUGGAAGGGACCAGGCGAGAUAAUCAUGAUGGUGGUUUCCACCAUCGUGUUCUCGUGAUAGUGAGUUCUCAUGAAAUCUGAUGAUUUUAUAAAGGGCUUCCCUCUUCGCUGGGCACUCAUUUUCUCUCCUGCCAUCCUGUGAAGAGGUGCCUUUGCCAUGACUGUGAGUUUCCUGAGGCCUCUCCAGCCAUAUGGAACUGAGUCAAACCUCUUUCUUUUAUAAAUUACUCAGUCUUGGGUAUGUCUUUAUUAGCAAUGGACUAAUAUGAUUAGUUAUGCAUAUUCUUGACUUUUAUAUAAAUGGAAUUCAUACAAGAUGCAUUCAUUUUUUUCCUGGCUCUUUUCAUACACGUUUGUGAGAUUCAUCCAUGUUGCAUGUAACAGUCAGUUUUGUUUACUCCUGUGUACUGUUUUAUUAUAUGACUAUAUCAAAUCUGUUAUUGAUGAAUAUUUGGUUGUUUCCAGGUUUUGCUAUUAUGCAUAAAGCUGCUUUGAAAAUUCUUGUAGAAAUAUUUUGGUGGAAAUCCUUUUAUUUCUUUUGAGUGUAUAACUGGGAUGGUUGGAAGGUGCUAGAUCUAGGAAUUAUGUAUGUUUACCUUUAAUAUCAACUGCCAAGUGGUUUUCCAACUGGGUUAUACCAAUUUUUACUCCCACCAGCAACAACAAUUUGAAUUCCAGUUGCUUUGUAUUUUCAUGAACACUUGGUAUUGCUAGUCUUUAAUUUUAGUCAUUCUAUAGAAAAUGUUUUGUCAUGGCUUUAAUAUGAAUUUCUCUGACUAAUAAUGAUAAGCAACUGUUUAUAUAUGUAUUGGCCAGUUGGAUAGCCUCUAUUUGAAGUUCAGGUCUUUUGCCUUUUCAAUUUUGUUGUUUGUAUUAUUGGUUUAUAAGAGUUUUUAUACAUUACAGGUGAUAGUCCAUUGUGAAGUAUAUGUUUUGCCCAUAUCUUUUCCCUCUGUGUCUUGACUUUUCACUCUGUUGAUAGGUCUUAAUGUUUAUUUAGUUAACAGUGUCUCACUGUAUCGCACAGGAUGGAGUGCAGUGGCACAAUCAUAACUCACGGUAACCUUAAACUUUUGCCUCAGACUCCUGAGUGGCUGGAACUACAGACAUGCACCACCAUGCCUGGCAAGUUUUUUUAUUGUAGAGACAAGGUCUCUCUAUGUUACCCAGGCUGGUCUUCAAUUCCGGUCCUAAAAUGAUCCUCCCAACUCAGGCUCCCAAAGUGCUGGUAUUACAGAUAUGAGCCACCAUCCCUGGCCCAUAGUUCUUAAUUUUAAAGAAGCCAAAAUUAAUAUAUCCUUUCUUUUAUGAUUAUUGAUCUUUAUGUCCUGUCUAAUAAUAUUUGCUUCUGGCAAGGCUUCUGAAGAUGUUUUCCUAUUCUUUCUUCUAGAAAUUUUAUCAUUUUAUGUUUUAUAUUUGGUCUUAAUUUUUAUGGUGCAAGAUAGGAGGGUCACUUUCAUUUUUCCUAUAUCAACAUCCAAUCGACAUUUAUUAAGAAGGACAUCCUUCCCCAGUGACUUGUAAUGGCAUCUUUGUAAUAAGUUGUGUGAUGGUAUUUAUGUAGAAGUAUUCCUAUGUUUCAUUGUUCUUUUUCUUUCACUGAUACCACAUAAUAUUUAUAGUACUGUAGCUUUAAACUAGAUCUUGAACUUUGAUCUUCAACAUUUUUUUUCACAAUUCUAGGUCUUUUGUAUUUCCAUGUAAA
This 3846-nucleotide long non-coding RNA is filed under the name Homo sapiens (human). RNAcentral's name for it is "novel transcript". Lineage: Eukaryota; Metazoa; Chordata; Mammalia; Primates; Hominidae. The record is from RNAcentral.